CUUUGAAUCAUAUCGUGUGUGUGUGUGCGUGUGCGUGUAUGCGUUCCUUGGGACCCUUCCCGCGACCAAAGCAAGGUCGGUGACCCAUUCAGCUCGACCUUCACUUGGCUCCAAGCUCCGUGCCCAUACACACCUUCUUCUCCACUUUUGUUCUUAUGAAGGAGAAAUCUGAAACUCGGAAGCACCUUUUCGAGACGGCUGACAAGGGUCUGUUACCGUUUGACAUCUCGCCAGCAAACAAGUUGUCUGUGAAGACCCCUUCUGUACAAGCUCAAUGUCCCGUCUCUUGCUAAUGCAGCUAUUGUUUACCUUGUAUAAAUUGUAAAUAUAUUGGUGAAAUGUGU
Long non-coding RNA from Penaeus chinensis, 344 nucleotides. RefSeq lists it as uncharacterized. The transcript is spliced from 2 exons. The record is from RefSeq and is a predicted model, not a curated record. NCBI's taxonomy places the organism in Eukaryota, Metazoa, Arthropoda, Malacostraca, Decapoda, Penaeidae.